UGAACUCUUCUUUUAGUUUCUUGAUGCUU
Molecule: non-coding RNA, 29 nt
Filed under: Mus musculus (house mouse)
Lineage: Eukaryota; Metazoa; Chordata; Mammalia; Rodentia; Muridae
Source: RNAcentral